RNAcentral lists this ribosomal RNA (460 nucleotides) under uncultured bacterium. Its description in RNAcentral is "partial 16S ribosomal RNA". It matches the Rfam family "Bacterial small subunit ribosomal RNA", at positions 338 to 795 of the family's 1533-position model. The record is from RNAcentral.
CCUACGGGAGGCAGCAGUGAGGAAUAUUGGUCAAUGGGCGCAAGCCUGAACCAGCCAAGUAGCGUGAAGGAUGACUGCCCUACGGGUUGUAAACUUCUUUUAUACGGGAAUAACGUGACGUACGUGUGCCGCUUUGUAUGUACUUUAUGAAUAAGGAUCGGCUAACUCCGUGCCAGCAGCCGCGGUAAUACGGAGGAUCCGAGCGUUAUCCGGAUUUAUUGGGUUUAAAGGGAGCGUAGAUGGUUUGUUAAGUCAGGUGUGAAAGUUGGGGGCUCAACCGUAAAAUUGCAAUUGAUACUGGCAGUCUUGAGUACAGGUGAGGAAGGCGGAAUUCGUGGUGUAGCGGUGAAAUGCUUAGAUAUCACGAAGAACUCCGAUUGCGAAGGCAGCUUGCUGAAGUGCAACUGACGCUGAUGCUCGAAAGUGUGGGUAUCAAACAGGAUUAGAUACCCUUGUAGUC